RNAcentral lists this ribosomal RNA (898 nucleotides) under Pseudogymnoascus roseus. RNAcentral describes it as "LSU rRNA". It matches the Rfam family "Eukaryotic large subunit ribosomal RNA", at positions 38 to 958 of the family's 3401-position model. Lineage: Eukaryota; Fungi; Ascomycota; Leotiomycetes; Thelebolales; Thelebolaceae. The record is from RNAcentral.
GCAUAUCAUAAGCGGAGGAAAAGAAACCAACAGGGAUUACCUCAGUAACGGCGAGUGAAGCGGUAACAGCUCAAAUUUGAAAUCUGGCCUCACGGUCCGAGUUGUAAUUUGUAGAGGAUGCUUCGAGCAUGGUCUGGCCUAAGUUCCUUGGAACAGGACGUCAUAGAGGGUGAGAAUCCCGUAUGCGGCCAGGUGCCUACGCUCAUGUGAAGCUCCUUCGACGAGUCGAGUUGUUUGGGAAUGCAGCUCAAAAUGGGUGGUAAAUUUCAUCUAAAGCUAAAUAUUGGCCAGAGACCGAUAGCGCACAAGUAGAGUGAUCGAAAGAUGAAAAGCACUUUGGAAAGAGAGUUAAACAGUACGUGAAAUUGUUGAAAGGGAAGCGCUUGCAACCAGACUUGCGCGCGGCCGAUCAUCCGGUGUUCUCACCGGUGCACUCGGCCGUGCUCAGGCCAGCAUCGGUUUUGGCGGCUGGAUAAAGGCCCUAGGAAUGUGGCUCCUCUCGGGGAGUGUUAUAGCCUAGGGUGCAAUGCAGCCUGCUGGGACCGAGGACCGCGCUUCGGCUAGGAUGCUGGCGUAAUGGUUGUAAGCGGCCCGUCUUGAAACACGGACCAAGGAGUCUAACAUCUAUGCGAGUGUUUGGGUGUCAAACCCAUACGCGUAAUGAAAGUGAACGGAGGUGAGAACCCUUAAGGGUGCAUCAUCGACCGAUCCUGAUGUCUUCGGAAGGAUUUGAGUAAGAGCAUAGCUGUUGGGACCCGAAAGAUGGUGAACUAUGCCUGAAUAGGGUGAAGCCAGAGGAAACUCUGGUGGAGGCUCGCAGCGGUUCUGACGUGCAAAUCGAUCGUCAAAUUUGGGUAUAGGGGCGAAAGACUAAUCGAACCAUCUAGUAGCUGGUUCU